Molecule: ribosomal RNA, 492 nt
Filed under: uncultured bacterium
Lineage: Bacteria
Description: bacterial SSU rRNA
Rfam family: Bacterial small subunit ribosomal RNA
Source: RNAcentral
AAAUGAAUUGACGGGGGCCCGCACAAGCGGUGGAGCAUGUGGUUUAAUUCGAUGCAACGCGAAGAACCUUACCAGGGCUUGACAUCCCUUGACGCCCGAGCGAUCGGGUUUCCCUUCGGGGCAAGGAGACAGGUGGUGCAUGGUUGUCGUCAGCUCGUGUCGUGAGAUGUUGGGUUAAGUCCCGCAACGAGCGCAACCCCUACGCUGUGUUACCAGCACGUAAUGGUGGGGACUCACAGUGGACUGCCGGUGACAAACCGGAGGAAGGUGGGGACGACGUCAAAUCAUCAUGCCCCUUAUGUCCUGGGCUACACACGUGCUACAAUGGUCGGUACAGACGGAAGCGAACCCGUGAGGGGGAGCGGAUCCGAGAAAGCCGGUCACAGUUCGGAUUGCAGGCUGCAACUCGCCUGCAUGAAGUCGGAAUCGCUAGUAAUCGCAGGUCAGCAUACUGCGGUGAAUACGUUCCCGGGCCUUGUACACACCGCCCGU